RNAcentral lists this long non-coding RNA (3473 nucleotides) under Oryza sativa (Asian cultivated rice). Its description in RNAcentral is "long non-coding RNA (OSAT_LNC001287)". Lineage: Eukaryota; Viridiplantae; Streptophyta; Magnoliopsida; Poales; Poaceae. The record is from RNAcentral.
CCGCAUCGCCCGCGGCCAUCGCCACCGCCUCCAUCUGCUCAGCGCGUCACCUCCACGGCGCCUCCCUUCCCCCGCCGCCGCCGCCUCAGUCCUCCUCCCCUCCGCCGCCGGUGCCGCCGCCAAAAUCCCCCACCGCGCGCGCGCCACCUACUCCCUCUCCCUCUCCACCAGGUUCAGGCGAGGUAGUGAGCCCUAAUCCUAAGCCCUCAUUCCUCUCCCCCACCGCGCCGGCAUCAGCUCCACCCCGUUGUCACAAGUCUCCCCCACUGCUGGCAUCAGCGUCCUCUCCUCCCCUGGCUCCUCGUGUCCACGCCGCCUGCGGCUGCGCCAAAGUCCAAGGCGUCUAGGCGUCUAGCCCCGCUCGCACUCGCCAGGCCACACACCAUCUCCACUCUCCUGAACGCAGCAGCGUCCCCAGCCCCUGCCACUGAGGCGUUGUACUGCAUUGCGGACCUCAGGAGCACGGCCGCCACGCAGAUGGAAGCCCUCGAAGCGCUGCCGCGGCUAUGCCCAUCUCCCUCUCCCGCGCAUCCAAGGUGAACUUAUUUGGAAGAUUCCUUGUGCGGUGUGUACCGUUACUAUGUCGUCUCUUGUUGCAAUGUAUGUCACUAGAAUUAAGAGUUUAGAGGGUUGAUAUAUUAGGUAUGAUUUUACUUUUAUCAUCUUAUAGCACAAUUACACAAAUGGAUAUACUUCCUUCUCUUGCACAUUUUGGUAUUUUAGAAAGCAUAUAACAUUGGAGUAGUUAUUUUUGCCUGCUAAUAACAAUAAAUCUAUUAAAGUUUUUGUAUGAAAUUGUUACUAGUUAAUUUAUCAUAGUACUUAUUUCUAUAAGAAGUGUAUACCUGUAAAAAGUGGUCUGUGUAGCAUGUUGUAGGCCAUACUAUAUCCGAAAUGUUACUUUUGGAACAGAGGGAAUAUGUUCCUUAAUUCAAUUUACUGGGGAAAAAAAUGUUCACAUGAUGGAUUUUGCACAAACUGCCAUUCUGAGGGCUCAAAUAGAAUAUUUUCCUCAUGGCGUACUAAUCAAUCUUACAGGAUGACAUGAUAGAGUAUGCACAACUUCCUACCCUCUUUAUGCAUGCAAAUUAUUGAGUCUUAUGUGCACUUCUGGAAAAAGGAAAGAAAUGAGCAUGCAUGUGUCCUGUUGUGACCACACAAUCAAUUGCAUGCAUGUGAGCUGUGUGGCUGUGUUCAAAAUUGAAUCCGUAAAUCCAUUAUACACGUGUCUGUGUUCCGUACUGUUACUUCACAUGCGUCCAUGUAUAUUUCAUAAUAGCUAGAAGAUCCAAACAAAAGAUUCAUUGAAAGAUUCCUUUUUCAGAGUAAUGGGAGAAUUUUAAGCUUUUUUUUCCCAUCAAUGUGGAAAUUUCUUGUUUUCAUACUUUGUAAAAUUAAGGCAGGGACUUCUAGGAUAGCCUCUAAAUUAGUAUAAAGAAAGGUUAGUCUGGUUGAUUAGUGAUUAAUAAUUUGUUGGACUUCAAGGAAUCAUAUAACUUUUGCUAGGUACCCACUUGUAAAACAACUGAAUAUCAGGGUCGAUGUGAUGCAAGAAUCCAUUGGCUUAUGGGUGAAUAGUUGACCUGUAGUCUGUGUUGUCAUUGUUAAUCCUAGCUGAUUGAACGCGCUGAUGAAGCCUAGAGGGGGGGGGGUGGGUGAAUAGGCUGUCCCUGAAAACUUAAAAAUAAAUCGCAGCGGUAAAAUUCAAACAGACCCGGAACUUCCUGGUAAGGAAUUCCGGAACUUCCGGUCUCCCAGGCCCGGAACUUCCGGUGUUCUAAGACAGGAACUUCCGGGUAACAGAAUAGAGAAGAAAUUCAAAUUUCAAAACAAGAGACUAAGCCAAUCUUCACAAGAUGGUGCACAGGUAUUCUAAGCAGAGGAUAUAUCACAGAAUCAUCCACAGAAACAUCACAGAAAGAGACAAGAGCAAUUUUUUCCCGAAGUUCGGAUCUUGCGAUCCUACUCUCCGUUGAGGAGCUCCAAAGAGCUGGGUCUCGAUUAACCCCUUGCCUCACUUGUGCAAAAACCCUAGAGGAAAUCCACAGCCUUCAACCCCAAACACCCCUAGGCAAAUUUCUAGAAUUGAGUGACCACCAAGAUCCAACUCAACCUACUUCUAGAAAUCCACCACAAGUGUGGGUUGCUCUACUUGGAAAGCCUCUAGAAUCUCAGCACAAGAACUUCACUAACUUACCUCGUUCCCUUUCGGAGGAGAGGAAAUCCUUCACAAACUUACCCGGGACAUCCACAAUAUGCAACGGAUUCUCGCGGGCGACACCUAACCGUCUAGGAGAUCAUCUCCAAGAGUAAUAAGCACCGAGAUGAUAGCCCACGAGAUAUUCCAAGUGCUCACCCAAGAUCCUAGUCUUCACACCUCUCCAAAUCUUCUUCUCUCCCUCUCAAUCUCUCAUUCACACAUGAAUUAGGCUCUAGAUUGAGUGGAGAAGGCAAGAAACACUUGGGAGAGGCUAGCAAUAGCUCUAGGUUUGAAAAGUGAAAGUGGAAUGGCCAAGGAACGAGCUGUAUAUGUAUAACGGCUAGGUGACAUCAUCUAGCCGUUACUCACAAAUUUGAACUGGAAACUAGAUAGGAAGUUUCGGACCUGGAAGAUCGGAACUUCCGGACUACACUUAGGAAAAUCUUUUUCACAAGACCGGAACUUCCGGACCUGGAAGACAGGAAGUUCCGGACUUGCAUUUUUGGACAGAUGGAGUAUUUGCAAAAAUGACUCCUAGGGAAACUUGACACUUGGUUCACACUAAGAGCACUUGAUAUAUCUCAGAGCAUCACCUGGAACCCCUCUUAAUAGUACGGUUUUUCCUAAAAACUCGAUUUCAAAAGAUAAACUAUCCUAUGCACUUCUCGAGUUCCGGUCCGCUUUGAUUUUGUACUUUUUGGGGGUCUCCAAGCAUCCAUCUUCCACACCUUGGACUAAUGCACCUGAAAGUCACUCAAUGAACUCAUUAGUUCCUUAACCACAUUUGUCAUUAAUCACCAAAACCCACUAGGGGGAUUAAUGCACUUUCACUGAUAACUGAGGUCUAUGGGAGACCUAACUACAUAUCCCGAGAGCAUAUGGUUUCAACUUUAAAGAACCUCCUUGGGAGGUGGAACAGAGCGAGUUGAGCCCUCAUCCGUACGAGUACCGUUAAUAGAAGGAUAAGUGGCCUAAUCCUUUAAAGUUAUUAUUUGUCUGUUUUUUUACGACCGAUGUCAUAUACGAAAGAAUAUCCAAGAGUUUCUAUUAGUAUUGUCAUGACCAAAAUGCCGAUGAUGCUUGACAUCUUGACGUAAUGCCUAGGAAAUCCUAUGAAUGAAAUCAUGAGCUUAUUUGCGCAAAUAUAUAUUUGCAUUACAUGCAUGUGUUGAUUACGUUAGUUACUGAAUACAUAAAAUUUCAGUUUAUUACAUGUUUCGUAGGAAGAUGGCAUUAAUCAACUAGCCAGCUAAUAACAGAGAACAUGUUCUUG